UACGGGGGGGGCAAGCGUUGUUCGGAAUUACUGGGCGUAAAGGGCUCGUAGGUGGCCCCAUAAGUCAGACGUGAAAUCCCCCGGCUUAACCUGGGAACUGCGUCUGAUACUGGAAGGCUUGAGUGCGGGAGAGGGAUGUGGAAUUCCAGGUGUAGCGGUGAAAUGCGUAGAUAUCUGGAGGAACACCGGUGGCGAAGGCGGCAUCCUGGACCGACACUGACGCUGAGGCGCGAAAGCUAGGGUAGCAAACGGG
Molecule: ribosomal RNA, 253 nt
Filed under: uncultured bacterium
Lineage: Bacteria
Description: partial 16S ribosomal RNA
Rfam family: Bacterial small subunit ribosomal RNA
Source: RNAcentral